Molecule: ribosomal RNA, 253 nt
Filed under: uncultured bacterium
Lineage: Bacteria
Description: partial 16S ribosomal RNA
Rfam family: Bacterial small subunit ribosomal RNA
Source: RNAcentral
UACAGAGGGUGCGAGCGUUGUCCGGAAUCACUGGGCGUAAAGGGCGCGUAGGCGGCUUGAUAAGGUUGCGGUGAAAGCCCGGGGCUCAACCCCGGGUCGGCCGUGGCAACUGUCGAGCUGGAGCACUGUAGAGGCAGGUGGAAUUCCGGGUGUAGCGGUGGAAUGCGUAGAGAUCGGAAGGAACACCAGUGGCGAAGGCGGCUACCUGGACAGAUACUGACACUGAGGCGCGAGAGCGUGGGGAGCAAACAGG